This 117-nucleotide microRNA precursor is filed under the name Gallus gallus (chicken). RNAcentral describes it as "microRNA gga-mir-6593 precursor". The record is from miRBase by way of RNAcentral. Lineage: Eukaryota; Metazoa; Chordata; Aves; Galliformes; Phasianidae.
CGGGCGGUGCGGUGCUGUGGGUGCUGGGAGGGCUCUGUGCGGCUCUGUGCGGCUCUGUGCGGCUCUGGGCCCACCCGAGCUCUGUCCCUGCAGAAAUAUUACCCGCCGGACUUCGAU